This 470-nucleotide ribosomal RNA is filed under the name uncultured bacterium. RNAcentral describes it as "bacterial SSU rRNA". It matches the Rfam family "Bacterial small subunit ribosomal RNA", at positions 915 to 1391 of the family's 1533-position model. The record is from RNAcentral.
GGGGACCCGCAAGCGGUGGAUGAUGUGGAUUAAUUCGAUGCAACGCGAAAAACCUUACCUACCCUUGACAUGUACGGAAGCCUGGAGAGAUUCGGGUGUGCUCGAAAGAGAGCCGUAACACAGGUGCUGCAUGGCUGUCGUCAGCUCGUGUCGUGAGAUGUUGGGUUAAGUCCCGCAACGAGCGCAACCCUUGUCAUUAGUUGCUACGAAAGGGCACUCUAAUGAGACUGCCGGUGACAAACCGGAGGAAGGUGGGGAUGACGUCAAGUCCUCAUGGCCCUUAUGGGUAGGGCUUCACACGUCAUACAAUGGUACAUACAGAGGGCCGCCAACCCGCGAGGGGGAGCUAAUCCCAGAAAGUGUAUCGUAGUCCGGAUCGCAGUCUGCAACUCGACUGCGUGAAGUUGGAAUCGCUAGUAAUCGCGGAUCAGCAUGUCGCGGUGAAUACGUUCCCGGGUCUUGUACACACC